Molecule: long non-coding RNA, 2294 nt
Organism: Clupea harengus (Atlantic herring)
Lineage: Eukaryota; Metazoa; Chordata; Actinopteri; Clupeiformes; Clupeidae
Source: Ensembl
AAACCACUGAGUAUAUUUUGGGGCUGUGUGAAUUUCUGACCUCAAUCUUCUGCAUGUAAAGGAAGUAAGCCUGUGUGUCUACACUGACUGAGUGUAGUUUAAUUUUUGUCCCAAGCCUGAGUUUGACCACAUUCUGUGUACCACACACACACACACACACACACACUGAAGUAAUGAGCAAGUCAAGACCUAGCAGCUUAUUUUCUAAAACAGCACAAUUACUCCAUCACACAUUCCUAACAUUACUAGCAGUGAAAGGCCUCUCACUGACAGUAAAUGCUUAAAAGUGCAGCAUUUCUGAUGCAUUUUAUUCAUAGGACACUAAGGCUAAGAUGUCUCAGGGAUACAGAAUGUGAGGAUUGAUUGGGUUGGUAGGACCAGGCCCUAGUCCAGUUGGGUCCAAAACUACCUGCAGAAUACCAAACAAUGUGGGGUGAUUUUAAAAUUUCCUCCUAGACCUAGUGUUGAUGAGGCAGCCUUACCCAAACGUUUGUUAUUAACAUCUCUCAAUGGAAGACCUCCAGGAAUAACAUUUCUUCAAUUUUGUUGUUUAUUUAUAAAUGAUGUACAAAUAAUCAAAUGUUAACCACCUGGAACGAAUAAAAAAGUGCCACAGGAUACCACGAUGACUUAUCUACAGUACACAGCAUUUACAAGAUUAGGCAAGAUGUGUUUUUGCGAUCAGAUUUAUUGGGUAAGCUGUCGUGAAGGGGUAAACACACAAUACAUAGUGCACUGUUCAUUAUUAAAAGGAUGCAUGAGUUGCAAACAUACACAGAAACAAUUCCCUGCCAUAUUAGGUUUAUAUGUUGAAUAACAAAUGCAAAUAUAAUGUACUUUCCCUCUUUAAUAAAAAAAACAGGCUGGAAUAACACACAAUCCGCAUCACUGUGUAUGUUAAACCUCUCCCUUGUAUUAAAAAUCCAAAGUAAAGCCAAGCCCAAAUAUCUUUUUAGAUCAUUUUAACAAUGACAGUUUCCUAUACAUUGUUUCAUGUAUUUGUCUAGCACUAUGAAUGCCAGCACUGCUGAAGGAACUAUGCAAACUAUAUGGUAUGGCUCUAUAUUUGUCCAGCAAUUCUACCACAGUGAGGGAAAUAGGAUAUUGUUAAACAGGAUUAAGUUUGUGCGCUUAGAGGCAUCAGCCUCUUUAAUUAUGUGCGUUGUGACAUCAGGUAAUGAAGAGUAAACACACACACACACACACACACACACACAUUCACACAUUCACACAUUCACACGCACUCAUCCGCACACGCACACAACUUUGGUACACAUACACAAAGAGCUUUGGUACAAAUUGAAGUGUUUGGUUCCUGGUCGUUCAGACUCACACCUGCCCCAGUAGGACUAGAGGAAUGAGACUUCAUGUAAAACCAGCUGGCAAGCGAGACAGAGAAGGGCAGAAAGAAGAGAGGUCAUCACAGACAGCAUCAUCACCAUCACCUAGCUUAGUGUAAACACAGUUUUCAGCUAGGCGUCAGCACAUGAUGAUCAUUCAGAAACCAUUAACUGAAUUUCAUUCCAGGGUUAGAUGCAUGUUGCUGAAGACCUGUGAUGUGAUUACAAAACACUGCAAUGUGGUAUGAACUCUCUCUUUCUCUCUCUGUCUUUCUCUUCAUUGGUUUGACUCAGUAGCUCCAGAACACAAAUGCCUUCCUUGACCUUUGACCGAAAUAUGCAAGACCCCACAGAGAGAGAGACAAACAGAUAGACGGGUAGAUGACCCACAAUGCAGCAGAGGAAUAAAGAGCUACGAAUCAAUUACUCAUGGGUAAAAGGAAAAGAAAAUCUCUCUCUCUCUCUCACACACACACACACACACAUACCCACACACAGACAGACUCUCUCUAAGUGGGUUGCAACAGAGGCCUUUGGUCAGGAAGGACUUAUGAGGAUCAGGUGACGCUGAGCUCACGGGCCCAAGCAGGGGGCUUGCCAUCAUAGGGGACCAGCACACGGGCCCCCACUGAGCUUGCUGCCCCUCCCUCUUCCUCUUCUUCACUUCCUUCUCCUUGCUCGUCCCUCUCUCCAGGCUCUGAGGCCCCUCCUCGGCCCACCCAACCUGGCUGCUCCAGACCUGGCACGGAACUGAAGGGCUGUUCUAGAACCUUCAGCACCCGCUGGACCUGAGGAGAAAGACAGGAGAAAGAGAGAAGGCAGGACAGAGGAGAGAGGCAGGGACAAAGACAGAGAGAGAGGGCAGGACAGAGGACACAGACAGGGACAAAGACAGAGAGAGAAAAGGUACAUCAAAGAAGGUGAGAGAGAUACAGGAGAGCAAAAGAAUGCAGG